RNAcentral lists this ribosomal RNA (108 nucleotides) under Arcuseries petzi. RNAcentral describes it as "5.8S ribosomal RNA". It matches the Rfam family "5.8S ribosomal RNA", at positions 8 to 117 of the family's 154-position model. From Rfam's summary of the family: 5.8S ribosomal RNA (5.8S rRNA) is a component of the large subunit of the eukaryotic ribosome. It is transcribed by RNA polymerase I as part of the 45S precursor that also contains 18S and 28S rRNA. Functionally, it is thought that 5.8S rRNA may be involved in ribosome translocation. The record is from RNAcentral. Lineage: Eukaryota; Ciliophora; Spirotrichea; Urostylida; Urostylidae.
AACGAUGGAUAUCUCGGUUCCCAUAACGAUGAAGAACGCAGCGAAGUGCGAUAAGCAAUGCGAAUUGCAGAACCGUGAGUCAUCAGAUCUUUGAACGCAACUGGCGCC